GGGUCUGGCUGCAGACACAUGGGGAAAGUGGAGCUCCACUCCAGACUGGAAACACGUGACCUCCACCGAAGACGUUAUCUCUACUUUUAUGUAGACCUAUGGGGCAACGAAACGAUUUAUUUUGACCGCAAUUAAAUGUUUAUUAAAUAAGAUUGUUUUUACGUUAUGGAAUUUGUUCGCACAUACAAACACAGAGCAAAACGACCAUCUGGAAGACGGAGAAAACAUGGGUAAAGAAGCCCACGGAGUGAUUUAAUGAAGCUACGAGGAGAAAACGCCGCAUUUUCACGCACAGUGACUGGGUUAAACUUGUAAACACUUGGCCAUGAGUAAACUGUUUGAUAUUCAUGUUCUUUUCUCAUCUGCAGCUUCCUGUAUGAGAACAACACACUGCUGGGGCCACAGAAAUGUUGGCUGAUGAGACGCUCAUGAUUCAUGAAAUGGGUCAAAUGCAGAUGACAAAGAAAAGUCAACACUGAGCAGGAGGUGCUGACCCAGACUUCUGCCUCUGUUUAGGUUUUCAGUCUGCAGACAGAAAUUUCAACCAGUCAGACUUAAGGCCCAUUCUGCUCUUCCUCCUCCAGAAAACGAGAGAUAUGUCAGACUGAAUGAUCCAAGUACACUGGGUCAUGUCUCCACUGUCCAUGUCCAGACUCACAGAGGAGGAGGAGGUCCAGACUGCAGACCUGUGGGGCCUCUGGUUGCAUCAGGCCUUCCUCCUGCACAUUCUGUUUGCUGUUGUUCCUAAUGUGUCCUAAUAGUGAUGUGUCCAUAAAGAUUAGGUUUAACGUCUAAUUUCCUCCAGAAGUGAAACAGUAAAAUGGUGGUUUCUGUUCGUCUUAGCUGAAGAGCACCUAAACAGCUUUAUCACUGAGGAAGUG
Long non-coding RNA from Boleophthalmus pectinirostris (great blue-spotted mudskipper), 881 nucleotides. RefSeq lists it as uncharacterized. NCBI's taxonomy places the organism in Eukaryota, Metazoa, Chordata, Actinopteri, Gobiiformes, Gobiidae. The transcript is spliced from 4 exons. The record is from RefSeq and is a predicted model, not a curated record.